CACUAGCGUAUAUUAAAGUUGUUGCGGUUAAAAAGCUCGUAGUUGGAUUUCUGUUGAGGGAGGUCGGUCCGCACUAUGUGCGUGCGUCUGAUUCUGCCUCGGCAUCCUCUCGAAUACCGGUCUGCGCUUUAUUGCGUGGGUCGGACUUCGGGACUUUUACUUUGAGGAAAUUAGAGUGUUCACGGCAGGCAAGCGCCUUGAAUAUAUUAGCAUGGAAUAAUGAUAUAGGAUCUUGGUCCUAUUUUGUUGGUUUCUAGGGCUAAGAUAAUGAUUAAUAGGGACAAUUGGGGGCAUUCGUAUUAACGCGUCAGAGGUGGAAUUCUUGGAUUGCGUUACGACGAACUACUGCGAAAGCAUUUGCCAAGGAUGUUUUCAUUGA
Molecule: ribosomal RNA, 379 nt
Filed under: uncultured eukaryote
Lineage: Eukaryota
Description: partial 18S ribosomal RNA
Rfam family: Eukaryotic small subunit ribosomal RNA
Source: RNAcentral